UACGGGGGGGGUAAGCGUUGUUCGGAAUUACUGGGCGUAAAGCGCGUGUAGGCGGCCCGAAAAGUUGGAUGUGAAAGCCCUGGGCUUAACCUAGGAAGUGCAUUCGAAACUGCAGGGCUAGAGUUCUGGAGAGGAAGGUGGAAUGCUUGGUGUAGAGGUGAAAUUCGUAGAUAUCAAGCGGAACACCGGUGGCGAAGGCGGCCUUCUGGACAGUAACUGACGCUGAGACGCGAAAGCGUGGGGAGCAAACAGG
Molecule: ribosomal RNA, 253 nt
Filed under: uncultured bacterium
Lineage: Bacteria
Description: partial 16S ribosomal RNA
Rfam family: Bacterial small subunit ribosomal RNA
Source: RNAcentral